CAGAUCCAUCAGAUCCAUCAUCACAUCCAUCAGAUCCAUCAUCAGAUCCAUCUACUCGAAGGCCUUUUAUCAUUGGAGUGGUCAUGUUCUCUCUGACUCUGCUGUUGGUGAUCACUGCCCUUUACUUCUACUAUAAGGCCAGCAGGGGGCAGAAGCCGGACAAACCGAGGAACAUUGUGCUGGUUUAUUAUAAGCGGCUUUUUUCUGCAGCUGAAGGAGGGCUGACUGAAGAGGAAGGAGCAUAGAGAGCAGAGUAACACCUCCAAGGAUCUCAUCUCACAUGCAGAUGGAUUUUAUUAUUCGACUUCCCUUUAACUGUUGUCUAAGCCAUGUCUUCAUUCAGAGGUACUGCGAGGUUGUCUGAGCUCUCAACUCUGAAAUACGAUUCAGGGGACGUGAUUUGGAAAAUCUGACCUCCAAAUUCAAAUGGAACGCAUGAUUAUGAUUAACCUUGUUAUGCACAAUCACAUUAUAAACAUUUCUGUCAGGAGAACCUGGGCUAUCAGAAUAUGUAUGCUGCAGGGAUGUCACAUUAAUGUAUAAACUGUUUUAUUACUAUAAAUACAAGCGAGAAAACUAAACGGAAAUGUAUUGAAAUCACACAGAGCAAUAAUUAUUAAUUACUAAUAUAUGACAGAACAAAACACUAAACACAGAAAUGUAGUACUAGUACUACUUUAAUAAAGUACUUUCAGGUGUUUGCUGGAGGUUCAACACAGAGAGUUGAAAUGAUGAAGAUCUGUGAUAAAUGUUUCUUUAUUAUCUGUUCAGAGGAAAUAAAUCAUCUUCAAUAAACGGUGAAACUCUGUGAA
Perca fluviatilis (European perch) is the source of this 812-nucleotide long non-coding RNA. RefSeq lists it as uncharacterized. The record is from RefSeq and is a predicted model, not a curated record. Lineage: Eukaryota; Metazoa; Chordata; Actinopteri; Perciformes; Percidae. The transcript has 2 exons.